GACGAACGCUGGCGGCGUGCUUCACACAUGCAAGUCGAACGACUUGGCGAACGGGUGAGUCACGCGUAAUCAACCUGCCCUUCAUAGGGGGACAACAGUUGGAAACGACUGCUAAUACCGCAUACUGAAGGAGGGGAUUGCGUCUGAUUAGCUAGUGGGGGGGUAACGGCACAACAAGGCGAUGAUCAGUAGCCGGUCUGAGAGGAUGAACGGCCACAUUGGGACUGAGACACGGCCCAGACUCCUACGGGAGGCAGCAGUGGGGAAUCUUCCGCAAUGGACGAAAGUCUGACGGAGCAACGCCGCGUGAGUGAUGACGGCCGUCGGGUGGGAAAGCUCUGUAAAACGGGACGCGGUACCGGAAUAGAAGACCACGGCAAACUACGUGCCAGCAGCCGCGGUAAUAC
RNAcentral lists this ribosomal RNA (407 nucleotides) under uncultured bacterium. RNAcentral describes it as "partial 16S ribosomal RNA". It matches the Rfam family "Bacterial small subunit ribosomal RNA", at positions 28 to 526 of the family's 1533-position model. The record is from RNAcentral.